RNAcentral lists this ribosomal RNA (403 nucleotides) under uncultured bacterium. RNAcentral's name for it is "partial 16S ribosomal RNA". It matches the Rfam family "Bacterial small subunit ribosomal RNA", at positions 30 to 526 of the family's 1533-position model. The record is from RNAcentral.
AUUGAACGCUGGCGGCAGGCCUAACACAUGCAAGUCGAGCGAGCGGCGGACGGGGGAGUAAUGUAUGGGGACUGACAGAUAGAGGGGGAUACCUACUGGAAACGGUGGCUAAUACCGCCUACUGUCGGAUAACCCAUAUGGGAUUAGCUAGUAGGUAAGGUAAUGGCGUACUUAGGCGACGAUCCCUAGCUGGUCUGAGAGGUUGAUCAGCCACACUGGGACUGAGACACGGCCCAGACGCCUACGGAGGCAGCAGUGGGGAAUAUUGCACAAUGGGCGCAAGCCUGAUGCAGCCAUGCCGCGUGUAUGAAGAAGGCCCUAGGGUUGUAAAGUACUUUCAGUCGUGAGGCGUUACCGACAGAAGAAGCACCGGCUAACUCCGUGCCAGCAGCCGCGGUAAUAC